This 493-nucleotide ribosomal RNA is filed under the name uncultured bacterium. RNAcentral's name for it is "partial 16S ribosomal RNA". It matches the Rfam family "Bacterial small subunit ribosomal RNA", at positions 29 to 523 of the family's 1533-position model. The record is from RNAcentral.
AUUGAACGCUGGCGGCAUGCUUUACACAUGCAAGUCGAACGGUAACAGGUUAAGCUGACGAGCGGCGAACGGGUGAGUAAUGCAUCGGAACGUGCCCGGUCGUGGGGGAUAACGCAGCGAAAGCUGCGCUAAUACCGCAUACGAUCUGAGGAUGAAAGCGGGGGACCGUAAGGCCUCGCGCGAUCGGAGCGGCCGAUGUCGGAUUAGGUAGUUGGUGGGGUAAAGGCUCACCAAGCCAACGAUCUGUAGCUGGUCUGAGAGGACGACCAGCCAGACUGGGACUGAGACACGGCCCAGACUCCUACGGGAGGCAGCAGUGGGGAAUUUUGGACAAUGGGCGAAAGCCUGAUCCAGCAAUGCCGCGAGCAGGAAGAAGGCCUUCGGGUUGUAAACUGCUUUUGUGCGGAGCGAAAAGGUCUCCUCUAAUACAGGGGGCUCAUGACGGUACCGUAAGAAUAAGCACCGGCUAACUACGUGCCAGCAGCCGCCGUAA